Molecule: long non-coding RNA, 231 nt
Filed under: Lathyrus oleraceus (garden pea)
Lineage: Eukaryota; Viridiplantae; Streptophyta; Magnoliopsida; Fabales; Fabaceae
Description: Pisum sativum (pea) long non-coding RNA (PSAT_LNC033281)
Source: RNAcentral
UAGAAAAAAGGUUGUCAUAGUUUUAAAAUUCCAUUUUUUGUAGGUUGCGAUUGUCUUUUGACCCAUUUUCUUUAAAUUUGGAGGCUUCUUUAAUCAUUCACUUCUUUAGUUUUCUUGAUAGGUUAAUAGCUUAUAUUGCAACACAUGGGCAUGGUGUAGAACCUAACCAAAUCUGAAGCAACAACUUGACACAAAGAAGGAAGCUUGGCUUGGAAGAAGACUACAUGUGUG